Molecule: long non-coding RNA, 887 nt
Filed under: Prunus persica (peach)
Lineage: Eukaryota; Viridiplantae; Streptophyta; Magnoliopsida; Rosales; Rosaceae
Description: long non-coding RNA (PPER_LNC005982)
Source: RNAcentral
AAUAUUUAAAUCUCAGGUAUUAUGCUCUUUGUGUAACACCAUAAUGUUUUAAGAAGGGAUAAUUAUCGAACUAUCACCUGAACUUAUACCUCAGUUUCAAUUUGUCACCUUAAAGAAAAAAUUAAGAGAAAUGCCACAUUAAUUUUUCAAAAUCCAUGAUUUGUCAUCUGACUUUAACACCAUCUAAUUUUCCAUCCAUUUUAAGGGUACUUUAGUCUUUCCAUUUUCAAAAAAAAAAGAAAACAAGAAAAAGGCUUAAAUGUUAAAAUGGUCCUUGUGUUUUAUCUCAUAGGCCAAUUUAGUUUCUGUGUUAUCAAUUUGGGCAAUUUGGUCCUUGUGUUUGUAUAUGUUAGUCAAUGUGGUCCAUUCCCUUCAAAAUAUAAAAUAUAAAAUAUUUAAAAUUAAUUAAAAUAAAAACUGUAAUUGAUUAUAAAAUUUUAAAUUCAAUCUGAAAAUGAAAUAUUUUUUUUUUUAAAUUUCACCUUCCCCAAUUUCGAGCACACACCUCAACCACCUCCCAAAUCCAGCCACUCUCACCACCACCACUCCAACCCCAAACCAUAGCCACCCUCACCACCAUUCCAACCCCACCUAACCACAACAACUCUCUCUCUCUCUCUCUCUCUCUCUCUCUCUCUCUCUCUCUCUCUCUCUCUCUCUCUUGGCUUCCUCUCUGACAAAUCACGAAGAUCUUCAUAGCCGGUCACCGUAACCUUGAUGGCUCUACCGCCAAUUGAUCAUCCUCGCUGCAGCAAAAGUCAACAAUAUUCAGGCCAAUGGAUCGAAGAGGAGAGAGAGAUGAAGAGUAGAGUAUGAGAAAAUCUUAAACAUAAGAGAGAAGAAAAAUUGCAGCAAGAAAAGAGUAGGCAUCAAUUCAACUAAGAACC